GAUGAACGCUGGCGGUAUGCUUAACACAUGCAAGUCGAACGGUCUCUUCGGAGAUAGUGGCGGACGGGUGAGUAACGCGUGAGAAUCUGGCUCUAGGUCUGGGACAACCACUGGAAACGGUGGCUAAUACCGGGUGUGCCGAAAGGUGAAAGGUUAACUGCCUGGAGAUGAGCUCGCGUCUGAUUAGCUAGUUGGUAGGGUAAGAGCUUACCAAGGCGACGAUCAGUAGCUGGUCUGAGAGGACGAUCAGCCACACUGGGACUGAGACAC
RNAcentral lists this ribosomal RNA (270 nucleotides) under Rhizonema sp. 'cyanobiont of Coccocarpia sp.'. RNAcentral describes it as "partial 16S ribosomal RNA". It matches the Rfam family "Bacterial small subunit ribosomal RNA", at positions 28 to 327 of the family's 1533-position model. RNAcentral also lists the same sequence under 7 other names. Lineage: Bacteria; Bacillati; Cyanobacteriota; Cyanophyceae; Nostocales; Rhizonemataceae. The record is from RNAcentral.